CUGCGAGUGAAGAGGGAAGAGCUCAAAUUUGAAAUCUGGCGGUUGCUUGUAGCCGUCCGAGUUGUAGUUUAGAGAAGUGCUAUCCGCGCUGGCCUGUGCAUAAGUUUCUUGGAAAAGAACAUCAUAGAGGGUGACAAUCCCGUCUUUGGCACAGAUAACCAGGGCUUUUGUGAUGCGCUUUCGACGAGUCGAGUUGUUUGGGAAUGCAGCUCUAAAUGGGUGGUAAAUUCCAUCUAAAGCUAAAUAUUGGCGAGAGACCGAUAGCGAACAAGUACCGUGAGGGAAAGAUGAAAAGAACUUUGAAAAGAGAGUUAAACAGUACGUGAAAUUGUUGAAAGGGAAACGCUUGAAGUCAGUCGCGUCCUCUAGGGAUCAAGUCAGCUGCUUUGGCUGACUGUACUUUCUAGUUGGAUGGGUCAGCAUCAAUUUUGAUUGCUGGAUAAAGGCCUUGGGAAUGUAGCAUCUUCGGAUGUGUUAUAGACCAUGGUUCUGAUACAGUGGUUGGGAUUGAGGAACUCAGUGUUAGGAUGCUGGCAUAAUGGCUUUAAUCGACCCGUCUUGAAACACGGACCAAGGAGUCUAACAUGCCUGCGAGUAUUUGGGUGGAAAACCCAUAUGCGCAAUGAAAGUGAAAGUUGAGAUCUCUGUCAUGGAGAGCAUCGACGCCCGGACCUGACCUUUUGUGACGGAUCUGCGGUAGAGCAUGUAUGUUGGGACCCGAAAGAUGGUGAACUAUGCCUGAAUAGGGUGAAGCCAGAGGAAACUCUGGUGGAAGCUCGUANCGAU
RNAcentral lists this ribosomal RNA (786 nucleotides) under Clavulinopsis laeticolor. RNAcentral's name for it is "Ramariopsis laeticolor eukaryotic LSU rRNA". It matches the Rfam family "Eukaryotic large subunit ribosomal RNA", at positions 87 to 884 of the family's 3401-position model. Lineage: Eukaryota; Fungi; Basidiomycota; Agaricomycetes; Agaricales; Clavariaceae. The record is from RNAcentral.